This 426-nucleotide ribosomal RNA is filed under the name uncultured Rummeliibacillus sp. RNAcentral describes it as "bacterial SSU rRNA". It matches the Rfam family "Bacterial small subunit ribosomal RNA", at positions 356 to 774 of the family's 1533-position model. Lineage: Bacteria; Bacillati; Bacillota; Bacilli; Caryophanales; Caryophanaceae. The record is from RNAcentral.
AGGGAAUCUUCCACAAUGGACGAAAGUCUGAUGGAGCAACGCCGCGUGAGUGAUGAAGGCUUUCGGAUCGUAAAACUCUGUUGUAAGGGAAGAACCAGUACGUCAGGCAAUGGACGUACCUUGACGGUACCUUAUUAGAAAGCCACGGCUAACUACGUGCCAGCAGCCGCGGUAAUACGUAGGUGGCAAGCGUUGUCCGGAAUUAUUGGGCGUAAAGCGCGCGCAGGUGGUUUCUUAAGUCUGAUGUGAAAGCCCACGGCUUAACCGUGGAGGGUCAUUGGAAACUGGGAGGCUUGAAUGGAGGAGGAGGAAGUUGGAUUUCAAGUGUAGGGGUUAAAUGCGUUGGGGAUUGGGAGGAAAACAGUGGCGGAGGAGACUUUCUUGUCGGCAACUGACGCUGAGGCGCGAAAGCAUGGGGAGCAAACA